GAUGAAGAACGUAGCGAAAUGCGAUACGUAAUGUGAAUUGCAGAAUUCAGUGAAUCAUCGAAUCUUUGAACGCACAUUGCGCCCGCCAGUAUUCUGGCGGGCAUGCCUGUUCGAGCGUCAUUUCAACCAUCAAGCCCCCGGCUUGUGUUGGGGACCUGCGGCUGCCGCAGGCCCUGAAAAGCAGUGGCGGGCUCGCUGUCACACCGAGCGUAGUAGCAUACAUCUCGCUCUGGGCGUGCUGCGGGUUCCGGCCGUUAAACCACCUUCAUAACCCAAGGUUGACCUCGGAUCAGGUAGGAAGACCCGCUGAACUUAAGCAUAUCAAUAGCGGAGGA
This 335-nucleotide unclassified non-coding RNA is filed under the name soil metagenome. RNAcentral's name for it is "partial contains 5.8S ribosomal RNA, internal transcribed spacer 2, and large subunit ribosomal RNA". The stretch from base 1 to 120 matches the Rfam family "5.8S ribosomal RNA", at positions 35 to 154 of the family's 154-position model. The record is from RNAcentral.